Molecule: ribosomal RNA, 465 nt
Filed under: uncultured bacterium
Lineage: Bacteria
Description: partial 16S ribosomal RNA
Rfam family: Bacterial small subunit ribosomal RNA
Source: RNAcentral
GACGAACGCUGGCGGCGUGCUUAACACAUGCCAGUCGAACGGAAAGGCCCUGCUUGCAGGGUACUCGAGUGGCGAACGGGUGAGUAACACGUGGGUGAUCUGCCCUGCACUUCGGGAUAAGCCUGGGAAACUGGGUCUAAUACCGGAUAGGAGCCAUUUUUAGUGUGAUGGUUGGAAAGUUUUUUCGGUGUAGGAUGAGCUCGCGGCCUAUCAGCUUGUUGGUGGGGUAAUGGCCUACCAAGGCGGCGACGGGUAGCCGGCCUGAGAGGGUGGACGGCCACAUUGGGACUGAGAUACGGCCCAGACUCCUACGGGAGGCAGCAGUGGGGAAUAUUGCACAAUGGGCGCAAGCCUGAUGCAGCGACGCCGCGGGGGGGAUGACGGCCUUCGGGUUGGAAACUCCUUUCGCUAGGGACGAAGCUUUUUGUGACGGUACCUAGAUAAGAAGCACCGGCUAACUACGUG